UCUCUCUGGAGAAGGCUGCACACGCAGCUGCCGAAGGUGCAAGACGAUCGUGCGGGUAUCGGCGACGGGUAAAAUUCCCGGUUCAGAAGGUACCGCGAUCGUUGAAUCUCUCAGGCAAAAGGACAGAGCG
Molecule: non-coding RNA, 130 nt
Filed under: human gut metagenome
Description: Glycine riboswitch
Rfam family: Glycine riboswitch aptamer
About the family: This family represents the bacterial glycine riboswitch. Glycine riboswitches usually consist of two metabolite-binding aptamers domains with similar structures in tandem. The aptamers cooperatively bind glycine to regulate the expression of downstream genes.
Source: RNAcentral